CAAAAUGUAGCUUAACUAAAGCAUCCCGCUUACACCGAGAAAAUAUAUGUCAAAACCAAAUCAUCUUGA
This 69-nucleotide transfer RNA is filed under the name Dendropsophus rossalleni. Its description in RNAcentral is "tRNA-Val". It matches the Rfam family "tRNA". From Rfam's summary of the family: Transfer RNA (tRNA) molecules are approximately 80 nucleotides in length. Their secondary structure includes four short double-helical elements and three loops (D, anti-codon, and T loops). Further hydrogen bonds mediate the characteristic L-shaped molecular structure. tRNAs have two regions of fundamental functional importance: the anti-codon, which is responsible for specific mRNA codon recognition, and the 3' end, to which the tRNAs corresponding amino acid is attached (by aminoacyl-tRNA synthetases). tRNAs cope with the degeneracy of the genetic code in two manners: having more than one tRNA (with a specific anti-codon) for a particular amino acid; and 'wobble' base-pairing, i.e. permitting non-standard base-pairing at the 3rd anti-codon position. Lineage: Eukaryota; Metazoa; Chordata; Amphibia; Anura; Hylidae. The record is from RNAcentral.